Molecule: ribosomal RNA, 666 nt
Filed under: bacterium LB-103
Lineage: Bacteria
Description: bacterial SSU rRNA
Rfam family: Bacterial small subunit ribosomal RNA
Source: RNAcentral
UAACAGGAUUUAGAUACCCUGGUAGUCCACGCUGUAAACGAUGUCGACUUGGAGGUUGUUCCCUUGAGGAGUGGCUUCCGGAGCUAACGCGUUAAGUCGACCGCCUGGGGAGUACGGCCGCAAGGUUAAAACUCAAAUGAAUUGACGGGGGCCCGCACAAGCGGUGGAGCAUGUGGUUUAAUUCGAUGCAACGCGAAGAACCUUACCUACUCUUGACAUCCAGAGAACUUAGCAGAGAUGCUUUGGUGCCUUCGGGAACUCUGAGACAGGUGCUGCAUGGCUGUCGUCAGCUCGUGUUGUGAAAUGUUGGGUUAAGUCCCGCAACGAGCGCAACCCUUAUCCUUUGUUGCCAGCGGUUCGGCCGGGAACUCAAAGGAGACUGCCAGUGAUAAACUGGAGGAAGGUGGGGAUGACGUCAAGUCAUCAUGGCCCUUACGAGUAGGGCUACACACGUGCUACAAUGGCAUAUACAAAGAGAAGCGACCUCGCGAGAGCAAGCGGACCUCAUAAAGUAUGUCGUAGUCCGGAUCGGAGUCUGCAACUCGACUCCGUGAAGUCGGAAUCGCUAGUAAUCGUGGAUCAGAAUGCCACGGUGAAUACGUUCCCGGGCCUUGUACACACCGCCCGUCACACCAUGGGAGUGGGUUGCAAAAGAAGUAGGUAGCU